Molecule: ribosomal RNA, 486 nt
Filed under: uncultured bacterium
Lineage: Bacteria
Description: bacterial SSU rRNA
Rfam family: Bacterial small subunit ribosomal RNA
Source: RNAcentral
AAUCAACGCUGGCGGCGUGCCUCAGACAUGCAAGUCGAACGCGAAAGUUCCCUUCGGGGGAUGAGUAGAGUGGCGCACGGGUGAGUAACACGUAGGUAAUCUACCUUUGGAUGGGGAAUAACAACCGGAAACGGUUGCUAAUACCGCAUAAUGCAGCGGCACCUAAUGGUGACAGUUGUUAAAGCGGGGGAUCGAAAGACCUCGCGUCUGAAGAGGAGCCUGCGGCGGAUUAGCUAGNGGUAAGGUAACGGCUUACCAAGGCGACGAUCCGUAGCCGGCCUGAGAGGGCGGUCGGCCACACUGACACUGACAUACGGGUCAGACUCCUACGGGAGGCAGCAGUCGGGAAUUUUGGGCAAUGGGCGAAAGCCUGACCCAGCAACGCCGCGUGAAGGAUGAAAUCCCUCGGGAUGUAAACUUCGCAAGAACGGGAAGAAUAAGUUUGUGCUAAUACCACAAGCGAUGACGGUACUGUUUGUAAGCUCC